AUGAAGGCCUUCGGGUUGUAAACCUCUUUCAGCAGGGAAGAAGCGCAAGUGACGGUACCUGCAGAAGAAGCGCCGGCUAACUACGUGCCAGCAGCCGCGGUAAUACGUAGGGCGCAAGCGUUGUCCGGAAUUAUUGGGCGUAAAGAGCUCGUAGGCGGCUUGUCGCGUCGGUUGUGAAAGCCCGGGGCUUAACCCCGGGUCUGCAGUCGAUACGGGCAGGCUAGAGUUCGGUAGGGGAGAUCGGAAUUCCUGGUGUAGCGGUGAAAUGCGCAGAUAUCAGGAGGAACACCGGUGGCGAAGGCGGAUCUCUGGGCCGAUACUGACGCUGAGGAGCGAAAGCGUGGGGAGCGAACAGGAUUAGAUACCCUGGUAGUCCACGCCGUAAACGGUGGGCACUAGGUGUGGGCAACAUUCCACGUUGUCCGUGCCGCAGCUAACGCAUUAAGUGCCCCGCCUGGGGAGUACGGCCGCAAGGCUA
RNAcentral lists this ribosomal RNA (478 nucleotides) under uncultured bacterium. RNAcentral's name for it is "bacterial SSU rRNA". It matches the Rfam family "Bacterial small subunit ribosomal RNA", at positions 408 to 896 of the family's 1533-position model. The record is from RNAcentral.